This 586-nucleotide ribosomal RNA is filed under the name uncultured Lachnospiraceae bacterium. RNAcentral's name for it is "bacterial SSU rRNA". It matches the Rfam family "Bacterial small subunit ribosomal RNA", at positions 65 to 665 of the family's 1533-position model. The record is from RNAcentral. Lineage: Bacteria; Bacillati; Bacillota; Clostridia; Lachnospirales; Lachnospiraceae.
UUUGAGAUUCUUCGGAUGAUCGAUCGGUGACUGAGUGGCGGACGGGUGAGUAACGCGUGGGUAACCUGCCCUGUACAGGGGGAUAACAGCUGGAAACGGCUGCUAAUACCGCAUAAGCGCACGAGGAGACAUCUCCUAGUGUGAAAAACUCCGGUGGUACAGGAUGGGCCCGCGUCUGAUUAGCUGGUUGGCAGGGUAACGGCCUACCAAGGCAACGAUCAGUAGCCGGUCUGAGAGGAUGAACGGCCACAUUGGAACUGAGACACGGUCCAAACUCCUACGGGAGGCAGCAGUGGGGAAUAUUGCACAAUGGGGGAAACCCUGAUGCAGCAACGCCGCGUGAGUGAAGAAGUAUUUCGGUAUGUAAAGCUCUAUCAGCAGGGAAGAUAAUGACGGUACCUGACUAAGAAGCUCCGGCUAAAUACGUGCCAGCAGCCGCGGUAAUACGUAUGGAGCAAGCGUUAUCCGGAUUUACUGGGUGUAAAGGGUGCGUAGGUGGCAGUGCAAGUCAGAUGUGAAAGGCCGGGGCUCAACCCCGGAGCUGCAUUUGAAACUGCUCGGCUAGAGUACAGGAGAGGCAGGCGGA